RNAcentral lists this ribosomal RNA (387 nucleotides) under uncultured bacterium. Its description in RNAcentral is "bacterial SSU rRNA". It matches the Rfam family "Bacterial small subunit ribosomal RNA", at positions 28 to 417 of the family's 1533-position model. The record is from RNAcentral.
GACGAACGCUGGCGGCGUGCUUAACACAUGCAAGUCGAGCGGUAGGGCCCUUUCGGGGGUACACGAGCGGCGAACGGGUGAGUAACACGUGGGUGACCUGCCCUCAGCUCUGGGAUAAGCCUGGGAAACCGGGUCUAAUACUGGAUAUGACUCCAUGACGCAUGUUGUGGGGUGGAAAGCCUUGUGCGGCUGAGGAUGGGCCCGCGGCCUAUCAGCUUGUUGGUGGGGGAUGGCCUACCAAGGCGACGACGGGUAGCCGGCCUGAGAGGGCGACCGGCCACACUGGGACUGAGACACGGCCCAGACUCCUACGGGAGGCAGCAGUGGGGAAUCUUGCGCAAUGGGCGAAAGCCUGACGCAGCGACGCCGCGUGAGGGAUGACGGCCU